UGAGGAAUAUUGGUCAAUGGUCGCUAGACUGAACCAGCCAAGUAGCGUGCGGGAUGAAGGCCCUCCGGGUCGUAAACCGCUUUUAGACGGGGAUAAAAGGGCGUACGUGUACGCCGUAUUGCAUGUACCGUCAGAAAAAGGACCGGCUAAUUCCGUGCCAGCAGCCGCGGUAAUACGGAAGGUCCGGGCGUUAUCCGGAUUUAUUGGGUUUAAAGGGAGCGUAGGCGGACUUUCAAGUCAGUGGUAAAAUCGUGUGGCUCAACCAUACCUCGCCAUUGAAACUGGAAGUCUGGAGUGCACACAGGGGUGCCGGAAUUCAUGGUGUAGCGGUGAAAUGCUUAGAUAUCAUGAAGAACUCCGAUCGCGAAGGCAAGUGCCCGGGGUGCAACUGACGCUGAAGCACGAAGGCGUGGGUAUCGAACAGGAUUAGAUACC
Molecule: ribosomal RNA, 435 nt
Filed under: uncultured bacterium
Lineage: Bacteria
Description: bacterial SSU rRNA
Rfam family: Bacterial small subunit ribosomal RNA
Source: RNAcentral